GUGUCAGCAGCCGCGGUAAUACGUAGGCAGCAAACGUUGUUCGGAGUUACUGGGCGUAAAGAGUACGUAGGCGGUUUGCCAAGUUUGGUGUGAAAUCUCCUGGCUUAACUGGGAGGGUGCGCCGAAUACUGGCGGGCUUGAGUAUUGGAGAGGAAAGCGGAAUUCCUGGUGUAGCGGUGAAAUGCGUAGAUAUCAGGAGGAACACCGGUGGUGUAGACGGCUUUCUGGACAAUCACUGACGCUGAGGUACGAAAGCGUGGGUAGCAAACAGGAUUAGAUACCCUGGUAGUCC
This 292-nucleotide ribosomal RNA is filed under the name uncultured bacterium. Its description in RNAcentral is "partial 16S ribosomal RNA". It matches the Rfam family "Bacterial small subunit ribosomal RNA", at positions 505 to 796 of the family's 1533-position model. The record is from RNAcentral.